AAUUGCUUAAGACUUUUGGUGCUUGCCUCUGCCAAGCCACAAAAAGUUCUUCAGGAAACUCAUUUGUUGGGCCAACAUCUUUUUCAUUGAAGUUGCCACCAUUUAUUUUCUGGGUAAACUUUGAUUUGUUAAGUGAGACCUCAGAACUUUUCAAGAAAAUUAUGGAUCCUAUUGAAAUGACUGGCACUCUGGCCCGUGAGCAUAGGCAUAUGGGAACUUUGAUUGGUUAAGUGAGACCUCAGAACUUUUCAAGAAAAUUAUGGAUCCUAUUGAAAUGACUGGCACUCUGGCCCGUGAGCAUAGGUGUAUGGAUUCAUCCAAAGGGAUUGGAAGGACUAGGCCUUGCUCUGGCACUAGAAGAAUUUCAGAACAGGAAA
Molecule: long non-coding RNA, 377 nt
Filed under: Nicotiana benthamiana
Lineage: Eukaryota; Viridiplantae; Streptophyta; Magnoliopsida; Solanales; Solanaceae
Description: long non-coding RNA (NBEN_LNC028985)
Source: RNAcentral